AGAGUUUGAUCAUGGCUCAGAUUGAACGCUGGCGGCAGGCCUAACACAUGCAAGUCGAACGGUAGCACAGAGGAGCUUGCUUCUCGCUGACGAGCGGCGGACGGGUGAGUAAUGUAUGGGGAUCUGCCCGAUAGAGGGGGAUAACUACUGGAAACGGUAGCUAAUACCGCAUAAUCUCUUAGGAGCAAAGCAGGGGAACUUCGGUCCUUGCGCUAUCGGAUGAACCCAUAUGGGAUUAGCUAGUAGGUGGGGUAACGGCUCACCUAGGCGACGAUCCCUAGCUGGUCUGAGAGGAUGACCAGCCACACUGGAACUGAGACACGGUCCAGACUCCUACGGGAGGCAGCAGUGGGGAAUAUUGCACAAUGGGCGCAAGCCUGAUGCAGCCAUGCCGCGUGUAUGAAGAAGGCCUUCGGGUUGUAAAGUACUUUCAGCGGGGAGGAAGGUGUUGUGGUUAAUAACCGCAGCAAUUGACGUUACCCGCAGAAGAAGCACCGGCUAACUCCGUGCCAGCAGCCGCGGUAAUUC
RNAcentral lists this ribosomal RNA (528 nucleotides) under uncultured bacterium. Its description in RNAcentral is "bacterial SSU rRNA". It matches the Rfam family "Bacterial small subunit ribosomal RNA", at positions 8 to 526 of the family's 1533-position model. The record is from RNAcentral.